RNAcentral lists this ribosomal RNA (314 nucleotides) under uncultured eukaryote. RNAcentral's name for it is "partial large subunit ribosomal RNA". It matches the Rfam family "Eukaryotic large subunit ribosomal RNA", at positions 40 to 350 of the family's 3401-position model. The record is from RNAcentral.
AUAUUACUAAGGGGAGGAAAAGAAACUAACAAGGAUUCCCUCAGUAACGGCGAGUGAAGCGGGAAAAGCUCAACUUGAAAAUCGGGCGGUUCUGCCGUUCGAAUUGUAGUCUAGAGAGGCGCUGUCAGCGGAUGCCUGGGCCUAAGUCCUUUGGAACAAGGCGUCAGAGAGGGUGAGAGCCCCGUAUUAGGUCCGGGAAUUUUCCGCGUACGAUACGCUUUCAACGAGUCGGGUUGCUUGGGACUGCAGCCCUAAGUGGGAGGUAAAUUUCUCCUAAAGCUAAAUACAUGCGAGAGACCGAUAGCGCACAAGUA